CUGCUUGUAUUGUUUAAAUUAUUGCUAAAUGCUUUCUUAACUGAUUUGGAGAGAACAGUUCACCUUUUAAGAAAAAAAAAAGUGAAUAUGGCGAGGUAGGUAGGAGACAUUCAGCUGGCAAGAUCAUUGGCCUAUUUUAUUCCAAAAUGAGGUAAGGAGUACUGAGCUAACUUGCAGGUCUUAAAGGAGUAUGUCCUAAGGAGUGAGAACAGACACACCAGCAGAAAAUCAUUCGCAAGUAAUGGUAGGAAAGACUCACCCCCUGGGAUGGUUGUUGAUAUUUAUAAAAGUCAGCGAGGAUUAUUGACCUGUCUCACCAAAACAGUCAUUUCUGUUAUUAUGACAUCAGAAUACUACCCCACGUCAGAUAACAGAGCAAAGGGCCUGAAGAAUGAGGGAGGGAGGCAGGCUGGACAGGAGGCAGAAAAGGGAAUGUAGACUAAGCAACUUCCAGACCACUCACUGGGGAUGCCAGCCACCGUAUCAUGAGGUCAAGCAGCAUGAAGGGGUCUAUACGGUGAGGGAGCGCCAGCUGUGUAAGUCACCCUAGAAGUGUGUCCUCCAGGCCCAAGUGUGCCCUUCAGGUGACUACAGCUGUGACACCGUGACUACCACCUCUGAGCCACUGUGGCCAGAACGACCUAGAGAUGCCACUCCUGAAUUCUGGACCCACAGAAAUCACGUGAGAUGUUUAUUAUUGUUUUCAGCCACUGAAUUUAAGAGUACUUCAAUUUACAGCAACAGUUCAUACUGUCUUAAAGGGCAGAAGUUGCCUGCUGGCAUGGCCUUCUCGUGGAGCCUUCCACAGUCCAGGCUCCCCACUAGUGAGAUGCUCCAGUAGCCCCAAGCUGUCUGCCAGGGCACUGCUGGGCAUUAGAAGACACUGCUUUCCCUCCAGGCUGGAGUACCUGAGUAUUACAGGCUGACUUGUUAUUUUUCAACGUAGGAGGUGUCGCGCUGGUCAGUUCAGAAGUCGUGAGACUCAGCACCGCCCCCUCCGUACUCUGGAGGUGCCCUGUCGUCAGAGGCCUCUUCUUCCAUGAUACGUCACAGACACGACAUGGGGAGGAGACUGAUGGAAGCACGGGCUGAAUCCCGGAUCUGUCACCGUCCCACUGACCCACCCCUCUGACCUCGGUUUUCCAUCAUCAAACACCUAAUACAUAACAGCGGCACCUAUGGCAUCCGCUGCUGUGAGGAUUAAGCAAGAUGCUAUGUUUCAAAUGCUGGGAACCGUGCCUCGUACGGUUGGCUGUUGCUAUUGAAUAUUGGCUGUUACUAUUACCCUUCAAGCUACGGAGACACAUAUAUAUAUGUACCAAUACGGGAAAUUAGAUCUGAAGCUAAUUGGCAGGGUUAUUAAAGACAAACAACCGAUGUUUUAAAAUCUGAAUUAGACAGUCUGUAUUCUAACACACACACGCACACACGGACACACACACACACAAUCUGUACCAAUUAAAUACAAUAAAGUUGAAAGGGGAUAUAAAUUACAGUUUUUCUUUUUCUU
Long non-coding RNA from Neofelis nebulosa (Clouded leopard), 1510 nucleotides. RefSeq lists it as uncharacterized. The transcript is spliced from 4 exons. The record is from RefSeq and is a predicted model, not a curated record. NCBI's taxonomy places the organism in Eukaryota, Metazoa, Chordata, Mammalia, Carnivora, Felidae.